Molecule: ribosomal RNA, 1960 nt
Filed under: human gut metagenome
Description: bacterial LSU rRNA
Rfam family: Bacterial large subunit ribosomal RNA
Source: RNAcentral
GAAAGUAAGCAAGGGCAGACGGUGGAUGCCUUGGCUCUCGGAGGCGACGAAGGACGUGAUAAGCUGCGAAAAGCCCGGGGGAGGCGCAAAUAGCCCUUGAUCCCGGGAUAUCCGAAUGGGGCAACCCGGCAGGCUGAAGGCCUGUCAUCCCGAAAGGGAGGCGAACGUGGGGAACUGAAACAUCUAAGUACCCAUAGGAGGAGAAAAUAAACAAUGAUUCCGUAAGUAGUGGCGAGCGAACACGGAAGAGCCCAAACCCGUGUCGUCUAGGCGAUACGGGGGUUGUAGGACCACGACGUGGCAAGAUAGAGUCAAGUGGAACGCCUUGGAAAGGGCGACCGUAGAGGGUGAUAGUCCCGUACACGACUGACGAUUGAAGCCUAGUGGUAUCCUGAGUAGCGCGGGGCACGAGAAAUCUUGCGUGAAACAGCGGGGCCCAUCCCGUAAGGCUAAAUACUCCCGAGAGACCGAUAGCGAACCAGUACCGUGAGGGAAAGGUGAAAAGAACCCCGAGCAGGGGAGUGAAAUAGACCCUGAACCCGUCUGCCUACAAGCGGUCGGAGCGUCGUAAUGACGUGACGGCGUGCCUUUUGCAUAAUGAACCUACGAGUUACCUUCCCCGGCAAGGUUAAGUUCUUGAGGAACGGAGCCGAAGCGAAAGCGAGUCUGAACAGGGCGCCAAGUCGGGGGGGGUAGACGCGAAACCGAGUGAUCUACCCUUGGCCAGGUUGAAGGUUGGGUAACACCAACUGGAGGACCGGAUGGGUAAGCGUUGAAAAGCUUUCCAAUGAGCUGAGGGUAGGGGUGAAAGGCUAAUCAAACUCGGAGAUAGCUCGUACUCCCCGAAAUGCAUUUAGGUGCAGCCUCUUUAUAGUAUAUCGUGAGGUAGAGCGACUGAUUGGAUGCGAGGGCUUCACCGCCUAUCAAGUCCAGAUAAACUCCGAAUGCGCGAUAUAUAUUUACAGGGAGUGAGGGCGCGGGUGCUAAGGUCCGUGUCCGAGAGGAGAAGAAUCCAGACCACCGGCUAAGGCCCCCAAAUGAUCGUUAAGUUGAACUAACGAGGUCGGAUCGCAGAGACAGCUAGGAUGUUGGCUUGGAAGCAGCCAUUCAUUUAAAGAGUGCGUAACAGCUCACUAGUCGAGCGAUCUGGCGUGGAUAAUAAUCGGGCAUAAACGAUCUGCCGAAGCCGUGGAUGUCGCAAGACAUGGUAGGGGAGCAUUCCAUGCCGCGUCGAAGAUGAGGGAUGACCCUUGUUGGAGCGCAUGGAAAAGCAAAUGUAGGUAUGAGUAACGAUAAGGGGGGCGAGAAACCCCCCCGCCGAAAGACCAAGGUUUCCUGAUCAACGCUAAUCGGAUCAGGGUGAGUCGGGACCUAAGGCAAAGCCGAACGGCGCCGCCGAUGGAAGAAUGGGUUAAUAUUCCCAUACUGCCUCAUGGAGUGACGUGGAGACGGAGAAGUGACAGUCCUGCCGGCUGACGGAAUAGCCGGUUGAAGGGUGUAGAUAUUGAUUCCCGUAGGCAAAUCCGCGGGGAGAGUCGAACCUGAGAGUAUACGGAGCGCUUGCGCAACGUAAUAUGGACGUAACCAUGCUCCCGAGAAAAUCCGCUAAACUUAUCCAUGCGGCACCCGUACCGUAAACGGACACACGUGGUCGGGUUGAGAAUACUGAGGCGCUCGAGUGAUUCACGGUUAAGGAACUAGGCAAAUUGACCCUGUAACUUCGGGAUAAAGGGUCCUCGUCGUAAGGCGAGGCGCAGAGAAUAGGUCCAGGCAACUGUUUAACAAAAACACAUGGCUGUGCUAAAUGGAAACAUGAUGUAUACAGCCUGACACCUGCCCGGUGCCGGAAGGUUAAGAGGAGAUGUCAUCCGCGAGGAGAAGCGUUGAAUUGAAGCCCCGGUAAACGGCGGCCGUAACUAUAACGGUCCUAAGGUAGCGAAAUUCCUUGUCGGGUAAGUUC